GCAGAAGUACCCAAGUGGUGAAGGGGAUUGUUUGCUAAACAAUUAGGUCUCGAAAGGGGCGCGAGGGUUCGAACCCCUCCUUCUGCGCCA
RNAcentral lists this transfer RNA (90 nucleotides) under Clostridia bacterium. RNAcentral's name for it is "tRNA-Ser". It matches the Rfam family "tRNA". Rfam says of the family: Transfer RNA (tRNA) molecules are approximately 80 nucleotides in length. Their secondary structure includes four short double-helical elements and three loops (D, anti-codon, and T loops). Further hydrogen bonds mediate the characteristic L-shaped molecular structure. tRNAs have two regions of fundamental functional importance: the anti-codon, which is responsible for specific mRNA codon recognition, and the 3' end, to which the tRNAs corresponding amino acid is attached (by aminoacyl-tRNA synthetases). tRNAs cope with the degeneracy of the genetic code in two manners: having more than one tRNA (with a specific anti-codon) for a particular amino acid; and 'wobble' base-pairing, i.e. permitting non-standard base-pairing at the 3rd anti-codon position. Lineage: Bacteria; Bacillati; Bacillota; Clostridia. The record is from RNAcentral.